GCAUUGACAAGAGUGAAAAAGGCUUUAUUCUUGUUUCUAUAUAUACUCUUAAUUAGGAGCUAUGUGACAAUAUUCUAUAAGACCUCUAAAACAUGUUGACUUUAUAAGAUACAUAUCUUAAUUUGCAAGACAAGUUUUUUUAUAUGUAUGCCACAUAGUUAGCUUGUUAUGCAAGCUAUUAAUAUGUAGUUAACUUGUUGUCACGAACACAAAAUACAGACUUGAAAUCUAACAAGAAGUUCAAGAAGAAGUGGCAGAACUAGAUUAAACAGAUGAGUACAAGAAUAACACUAGAAAGGUG
Molecule: long non-coding RNA, 301 nt
Filed under: Physcomitrium patens
Lineage: Eukaryota; Viridiplantae; Streptophyta; Bryopsida; Funariales; Funariaceae
Description: long non-coding RNA (PPAT_LNC003469)
Source: RNAcentral